This 432-nucleotide ribosomal RNA is filed under the name uncultured bacterium. RNAcentral describes it as "partial 16S ribosomal RNA". It matches the Rfam family "Bacterial small subunit ribosomal RNA", at positions 29 to 507 of the family's 1533-position model. The record is from RNAcentral.
ACGAACGCUGGCGGCAUGCCUAACACAUGCAAGUCGAACGAGACCUUCGGGUCUAGUGGCGCACGGGUGCGUAACGCGUGGGAACCUGCCCUUAGGUUCGGAAUAACUCCCCGAAAGGGGUGCUAAUACCGGAUAAUGUCUUCGGACCAAAGAUUUAUCGCCUUUGGAUGGGCCCGCGUUGGAUUAGCUAGUUGGUAGGGUAAAAGCCUACCAAGGCGACGAUCCAUAGCUGGUCUGAGAGGAUGAUCAGCCACACUGGGACUGAGACACGGCCCAGACUCCUACGGGAGGCAGCAGUGGGGAAUAUUGGAAAAUGGGCGAAAGCCUGAUCCAGCAAUGCCGGGUGAGUGAUGAAGGCCUUAGGGUUGUAAAGCUCUUUUACCCGGGAUGAUAAUGACAGUACCGGGAGAAUAAGCGCCGGCUAACUCCGUG